This is a long non-coding RNA of Mesocricetus auratus (golden hamster), 483 nucleotides long. RefSeq lists it as uncharacterized. The record is from RefSeq and is a predicted model, not a curated record. Lineage: Eukaryota; Metazoa; Chordata; Mammalia; Rodentia; Cricetidae. The transcript is spliced from 2 exons.
AGACAGGAGGGUGGCCAAGUGUUCAAGCGAGCCUGUACUGCAGUGGAGCUCUGAUUCAAAAUAACCUCAGUUUCGCACAUAUCUGAGUCGUUAAUGACCUCGAGGCUAAAAGCAAAGCUGGCUAGUGUUCCCUGAGGCUGAUUUUUACCUGAAGUCCUUGACUUUGUACAAAACCCAAAAUGCCUUGAUACUUGUCUUCAGUAAUUAGACUUUAAAUUUAACUUUCUCUCCCUGCUUCCCACCCCUUUUAAAGGAGGAGUUGUUAAGGGACAACUUUUUUGAGAUUUUGCCGUGCCUGAGGCAGAAUAUUUAUUGUGUGACUAGUCAUGGUGAGAUACACCAGCAGUCUAUGCUUAUGGGAGGUGGAGCAGUGAAGGUCACAAGUCUCAGACCAAAUCUGGCUGUAUAGUGAGACCCUGUCUGCUCCCAAAAAACACCCUCCAACCCCUAGUGUUAAGAGUCAUUAAACUGAAGUUAACUGUA